UCGAAAAAUGUGCACGGUACCCGAGGCUCGCGUACAACGACGCUUUUUGAGAUCCUUUAAGAAGCGUUCUUUAAGCGAGACGGAUGCGUUCCAAGAUUAUUCAACCGGUGCUCCCGCGACGACCGAAACGCGGAACGUUGCUGCUGCACGACGAUCGCCCGGUAAAAGUAGAGAAAUGGGAACCUACCUUAAGGGUAUCCUGCAGGUUUUGUACUCUACAGUGCAUAUACACAUCGGCACCGAGCUGCACGGUAAUGUUGUUCUCCGAAUCUUCGAAAAAGGGCCUGGGCUCCGGUGUGCCACCGGUUUCCGUCGCGAUGCUUUCCACCUCGUAUACCUGUCGACAUGAUCAAUUAGUAUUCUUUUACCGAAGAAAACAAUUCGUAUCCUUCUCCGAGCUUUUCUGACACUCGAUAAUAGGAAAACGUAUAAAAAUGUACGAACAUCUGCAGUCGAAACUGGAAGACGAUGUUCCUGAAUUUAUGACAGAAGGUACAAAUAUUUCGCAUCGCAGAUGUUACAUAAACGUUUACGGCACUUUGUCAGCCAUCAAGCGAGAAGUAGAAACAGACGACGGAAAAGAGAGAGAGGGGGAGAGAGGGAGAGAGAAAGAAAAGGGAAAAAUGAAAAGACAGGAAGGGAAAUGAAGAGAGAGAGAUAACAGUUUUGUACAGCGUGCAGAGUGGAAACGGUGCAAAAGGUAUGGGCCGUAGCUUUUUCAAAAGACAUUUUAACUCCUUGUUCCAAUUAUGCAGCCGACUUACCUCGGUAAAAGGCGAACUGAGCUCAUGCCAGAACGACCUCGGCAGGUUUUCCAGUCCAGGAAACGGCUUAGCACCUGAAACAAUUUAGAACCAGAUUAUACCAUUCCUUGCCGAGGCUUUAUCACUCGUAUACAAUAGCGUAAUUAAACCUUGACCGCGAAUUUACUGGCAACCUUGUUACAACCAACGAAUAUAUUGGGUUGGCAACUAAGUGAUCGCGGAUUUUGUCGAUUGAUGGACUUUACACUUUCUUUUCUUUUGCUAACGCAGUCGAAGCAUCCAACCUAUAAUUUUUCCUUAUUGUUUGGACUUCUGCCUUUAAUUUAGUAAAAAUAUUAUAUCGAUUAGUGCUUUAGUUUUCUUUUUAUCCCAAUUAAAAAUGGAAGAACAGGACGUGCACUUCGGACAUAUUUUAUUGUGUUACUUCCGAAAUGGCAAGAACGCAUCGCAGGUACAAAAGAAGCUAUGUGCGGUAUAUGGAAAUGAAGCCUUGAAAGAAAGGCAGCGUGAAAAUUGCUUUGCCAGAUUUCGUUCUGCUGAUUUUUCACUGUGAAAAUGCUCAACGAUGUGGCCGUCCAGUUGAAGUCGAUGAGAUCCGUAUCAAAGCCAUUAUCGAUUCAAAUCGUCAUAGCACAACACGUGAUAUUGCGCAGAAGCUCAAUUUUAUCGCACACAUGCAUUGGAAAAUAAUUAAGAAUACUUGGUUAUGUUAAGAAACUCGAUUUAUGGAUCCCUCGCCAGCUCAAGGAAAUUCAUUUGACUGCGAUUCGCUUCUGAAACGCGACGGAACUGAUCCAUUUCUGAGAAGCCUAAUUACUGGCGACGAAAAGUGGAUAGUUUAUAACAACGUUAAUCGGAAGAUGAACAAGCCCGAACGACGUCAAAAGCAGAGAUUCACCAAAAAAAGAGAUUAUGCUGACAGUCUGAUGGGAUUAUAAAGGAAUUUUGUACUUAUGCCACAAAACCAAACGAUCAAUUCAAACGUGUACGUUCAACGACUCGCCAAACUGAGCGAUGCAAUUGAAGAAAAGCGGCCGGUAUUGUCGAAUCGUGAGGGUGUUGUUUUCCACCAUGAUAAUGCAAAGCCUUUGGCCACUCGCCAAAAAUUAUUGGAACUGGAUUGGGAUGUUUUGUCACAUCCAGCAUAUAGCCCUGAUCUUGCGCCUUCAGACUACCAUUUGCUUCGUUCCAUGCAGAACUCCUUAAAUGGUAAAAUUUUUAAUAACGCUGAUCAUGUCAGAUCACAUUUAAUUCGGUUCUUUGAUAGCAAAGAUCAGAAAUUUUUCGAACGUGGAAUUUUGACACUGCCAGAACGAUGGCAAAAGGUCAUCGACAAGAACGGUCAGUAUCUAACUGAACGAAGUUAUAUUUUUAAAGAAAAAUUUUGAAUUUUCCUUCUUAUUUGAAAUCCGCGAUCACUUAGUUGCCAACCCAAUAGAACGGUAUCAGAAAAGUUCGAAAGUUUCGUUUACCGUUUCUGCUGCGAGCACACCAAACUGCAGGGCAAAGAAUUUACGAUCCGUAUCGAUCCGAUACACGCACACGCAAUCGCGGGAAACAUUUUCGAAAGUCUAUUAAUGUUUCAUACGUUCGUUACAUCGAUUAUUAGUCUUUUGAGAAAUUCUUCGCAUAGACCACCCCGUCGGCCAAAGACACCCAACUAUGGAAUUUCAACUUUUUUACGUAGCAUUAUAUUGGUUUCCGAUAUAUUGUAAAAUCGGUUUUCUAUUCCGACAUUAACUUUCGUUCAAUGUUCCUUCGUAGUAUCGUUUUAGGAGCUGCAGCAAUUGUUGCUAAGAAACUUAUUCUAUUCUGUAUUAUAUGUUAAUGUGUCAAUAUAAUAUUAUUAAUGUUUA
Long non-coding RNA from Megalopta genalis, 2620 nucleotides. RefSeq lists it as uncharacterized. NCBI's taxonomy places the organism in Eukaryota, Metazoa, Arthropoda, Insecta, Hymenoptera, Halictidae. The record is from RefSeq and is a predicted model, not a curated record.